UUUCCCUUUGGUGACCAUAGGUUUGUUUCCUAUGUCUGUGAAUCUAUUCUGUUUUAUAAAUAAGUUCAAUUGUAUCAUUUUUACAUUCCACGUAUGAUGUCAUAUGAUAUUUGCCUUUCUCUGACUUAACUUAGUAUGAUCACUAGAUCCAUCCAUGUUGGUGAAAGUGGCAUUAUUUCUGUUUUAUGGCUGAGUAGCAGUCCAUUGUAUAUAUAUUCCACAUCUUUUUUUCCCCCACUUUUUAAAGUUUUAUUGAAGUGUAGUUUUUCUAUUGUAUAUUCUUGCCUCUGUCAAAAAUUAGUUAACCGUAAGUGUAUGGGGUUUAUUUUUUUCUGUACUUUCUAGCUUGUUCCGUUGAUCUAUGUGUCUGGUUUUGUGCUGGUACCAUACUGUUUUGAUUACUGUAGUAGAGUCUGAAGUCAGGGCAUGUGAUUCCUCAAACUCCAUUCUUUCUCAAGAAUACUUGGGCUAUUCAGGGACUUUUGUGUUUUCAUAUAAAUUAAUUUUUUUCUGUUUUACUUCUGUAAAAAAUGCAUUGGUAGUUUGAUAGGAAUUGCAUUGAAUCUGUAGAUUGCCUUGGGUGGUAUAGCCUUUUUUUUUUUUUUGCUUUUUAGGGCUGCACCCAUGGCAUAUGGAAGUUCCCGGGCUAGAGAUUGAAUCAGAGCUACAGCUGCCAGCCUACACCACAGCCACAUCAAUGCAGGAUCCAGGCAGCACCUGUGACCUACGCUAUAGCUCACAGCAAUGCCAGAUCCUUAACCCACUGAGCAAGGCCAGGAAUCGUACCCACAACCUCAUGGUUACUAGUUGGAUUUGUUUCCACAGUGCCUCAUUGGGAACUCCUAAUCAUUUUUAACAAUAUUGAUUCUUCCAGUCCAAGAACAUGGUAUAUCUUUCUGUUUGUGUCAUCUUUAAUUUCUUUCAUCAGUGUCUUAAAAGCUUUCAGAGUACAGAUCUUUUGCCUCCUUAGAUAGGCUUAUUCCUAAGUGUUUUGUUCUUAAUGUGAUAUAAUGGGAUUGUUGCCUUAAUUUUUUUCUGAUAUUUCAUUGCUACUGAAUGGAAAUGCAACCAAUUUCUAUAAAUUCUGUAUCCUGCAACUUUCCCAAAUUCAUUGAUGAGCACUAAUAAUUUUCUGGUGGCAUCUUUAGGAUUUUCUUUGUGUAGUAUCAUGUUAUCUGCAAACAACCUUUUUCAAUUUGGACUCCUUGUAUUUGUUUUUCUUCCCUGAUUGUUGUGGCUGGGACUUCCAAAACUAAGUUGGAUAGAGAUUGGCAUCCUGGCUUCUGCCUGAUAUUAGAGGAAAUGCUUUCAGCUUUUCACCAUUGAGUAUGAUAUUAUCUGUGGACUUGGAAUAUACAGUCUUUAUUAUUUUGAGGUAUAUUCUCUAUUACUGAAGAGUUUUUAUCAUAAAUCUAUAUUGGAAUUAAUCAAAAGCUUUUCAUGCAUCUGUUGAGAUGAUCAUAUGGUUUUUAUUUUUAAAUUUGUUAAUGUGGUAUGCCACAUUGAUUGAUUUGUGGAUAUUGAAAAAUCCUCUCAUUCCUAGGAUAAAUCCCAUUUGAUCAUGAUGUAUGAUCCUUUUAAUACAUUGUUAGUGUGCUAGUAUUUUUGGAGGAUUUCUGCAUCUAUAUUUAUCAAUGACAUACCUUAUUUUGUGGUAUCUUUGCCUAGUUUUGGAAUCAGGGUGAUGGCCUCGUAGAAUGAGUUCAAAAUUGUUCCUUCCUUUGCAAUUUUGAAAUAGUUUAAGAGGAGUAGGUGUUAACUCUUCUCUAAAUGUUUGAUAGAGGGAGUUCCCAGCAGUAAAGAACCCAAUUAGUGUCCAUGAGGACAUGGGUUCGAUCCCUGACCUCAAUCAGUGGGUUAAGGAUCUGACAUUGCUAUGACCUGUGGUGUAAGUUGACAAUGUGGCUCAGAUCUGGCAUGGCUGUGGCCAGCAGCUGCAGCUCUGAUUUGACGCCUAGCCUGGACACUUUCAUAAGCUAUGGAUUUGGCCUGAAAAAGACCCCCAAAAUUUUUGAUAGAAUUCACCUGUGAAGCCAUCUGGUCCUGGACUUUUGUUUGUUGGCAGUUUUUUGUUUUUAUAUUUGUGCUUUUUAGGGCUGCACCCACAGCAUAUAGAAGUUCCCAGGCUGGGGUCUAAUCAGAUCUGUAGCUGCCAGCCUACACCAGAGCCACAGCAAUGCCAGAUCCAAGCCACAUCUGUGACAUACAUCACAGCUCACGGCAACGCCGGAUCCUUAACCCACUGAGCAAGG
This 2252-nucleotide long non-coding RNA is filed under the name Sus scrofa (pig). RNAcentral's name for it is "lncRNA (ENSSSCG00035021413.1)". Lineage: Eukaryota; Metazoa; Chordata; Mammalia; Artiodactyla; Suidae. The record is from RNAcentral.